CCUACGGGUGGCAGCAGUGAGGAAUAUUGGUCAAUGGACGAGAGUCUGAACCAGCCAAGUAGCGUGAAGGAUGACUGCCCUCUGGUUUGUAAACUUCUUUUAUAUGGGAAUAAAAUGUUCCACGUGUGGGAUUUUGUAUGUACCAUAUGAAUAAGGACCGGCUAACUCCGUGCCAGCAGCCGCUGUAAUACGGAGGAUCCGAGUGUUAUCUGGAUUUAUUGGGUUUAAAGGGAGCGUAGGUGGUUUGUUAAGUCAGUUGUGAAAGUUUGCGUCUCAACCGUAAAAUUGCAGUUGAAACUGGCAGUCUUGAGUACAGUAGAGGUGGGCGGAAGUCGUGGUGUAGCGGUGAAAUGCUUAGAUAUCACGAAGAACUCCGAUUGCGAAGGCAGUUCACUGGACUGCAACUGACGCUGAGGCUCGAAAGUGUGGGUAUCAAACAGGAUUAGAUACCCGUGUAGUC
Molecule: ribosomal RNA, 460 nt
Filed under: uncultured bacterium
Lineage: Bacteria
Description: partial 16S ribosomal RNA
Rfam family: Bacterial small subunit ribosomal RNA
Source: RNAcentral